UCAAUGAUAGUUACAAUUAAA
This 21-nucleotide non-coding RNA is filed under the name Caenorhabditis elegans. Lineage: Eukaryota; Metazoa; Nematoda; Chromadorea; Rhabditida; Rhabditidae. The record is from RNAcentral.